GUGGGGAAUAUUGGACAAUGGGCGAAAGCCUGAUCCAGCCAUGCCGCGUGUGUGAAGAAGGUCUUCGGAUUGUAAAGCACUUUAAGUUGGGAGGAAGGGCAUUAACCUAAUACGUUAGUGUUUUGACGUUACCGACAGAAUAAGCACCGGCUAACUUCGUGCCAGCAGCCGCGGUAAUACGAAGGGUGCAAGCGUUAAUCGGAAUUACUGGGCGUAAAGCGCGCGUAGGUGGUUCGUUAAGUUGGAUGUGAAAGCCCCGGGCUCAACCUGGGAACUGCAUCGAAAACUGGCGAGCUAGAGUACGGUAGAGGGUGGUGGAAUUUCCUGUGUAGCGGUGAAAUGCGUAGAUAUAGGAAGGAACACCAGUGGCGAAGGCGACCACCUGGACUGAUACUGACACUGAGGUGCGAAAGCGUGGGGAGCAAACAGGAUUAGAUACCCCAGUAGUCC
This 450-nucleotide ribosomal RNA is filed under the name uncultured bacterium. RNAcentral describes it as "partial 16S ribosomal RNA". It matches the Rfam family "Bacterial small subunit ribosomal RNA", at positions 354 to 796 of the family's 1533-position model. The record is from RNAcentral.